GGUGGUUCUCAGGUGAUGCACCCUGGAAUCGGGUCCCUCCUCUCUGGUUCCAGGUGCAUCACCUGAGAACCGCA
Non-coding RNA from Myotis brandtii (Brandt's bat), 74 nucleotides. Lineage: Eukaryota; Metazoa; Chordata; Mammalia; Chiroptera; Vespertilionidae. The record is from Rfam.